RNAcentral lists this unclassified non-coding RNA (385 nucleotides) under Hevea brasiliensis (rubber tree). The record is from RNAcentral. Lineage: Eukaryota; Viridiplantae; Streptophyta; Magnoliopsida; Malpighiales; Euphorbiaceae.
GCAGGAGCAGGCAGCCUGCCAGAGGCUGGGUCCAAAAGGGGCUUAAUGCUUACACUUUCAGCGAACAACAGUUACAUUUUACGCAGAGAGAUGGAUAGUGUUUAACAGAAGCAAUUUUUUAUUCGUUCCCUGCUCCUCUCUCGUCCUUAUCCACCCACCCUUUCAACAUCUUCCUCUGAUUUACAUUUUCGAUCUCAAACUAACCACCAAUCAAUUAAAUAAAUAAAAUUUCAUGACAGCUUCGUCGUAGUCGUCGUCAUCAGGUCACCUCCGUCUCAUGCCCGAUCUCCAACCAUUUUUGGCCCAGAUGAGACUCCUUAGGAAGGUGGUGUUUAAAGCAUAAGGUUGACAUUUGGUGAGAUUUACCCAUAAAAGCCACCUCGCG